Molecule: ribosomal RNA, 387 nt
Filed under: Triticum aestivum (bread wheat)
Lineage: Eukaryota; Viridiplantae; Streptophyta; Magnoliopsida; Poales; Poaceae
Description: partial small subunit ribosomal RNA
Source: RNAcentral
AUGCCGCCUUCUCCCUCAACGGGGUGGGCGCUGGCGACCAUCUACGGUGCGAGCUUGGGGGCCAGGGUGUGCCAGUCCAUGACACCGGCGCGGAAGAGGCGCGAUGCAGCGACCGACGACUCAAUCUCAUGGACCCAGCUAUUGGUGGAGGCCAUUGCUAUGAUGAUCAAGCUAGUACAGCCGGUGCUGAUGAGGGUCUGCGUGGUGAUUAGCCAGCUGCAUUACCCAUUAACAAAUGCCUGUGAGCGUGUACAUGUAUCAUUACACUAUCAGGCAAACACGAUGGGUCUAGACAAGGAGUACUUUUACAAGGAGGAGUUCAUGGGUUCUUCUUCGUCACAUGAUGAGGGGGAAGACAAUGAAACGGCGAUAAUGAUGGCGUCUUGA